This 4675-nucleotide long non-coding RNA is filed under the name Citrus sinensis (sweet orange). Its description in RNAcentral is "long non-coding RNA (CSIN_LNC000702)". The record is from RNAcentral. Lineage: Eukaryota; Viridiplantae; Streptophyta; Magnoliopsida; Sapindales; Rutaceae.
CAGAAGUUGAGACCAUCGGUAGCUUGCAUCAUUUCAAUCUUGUGAGAUUGAUUGGCUUUUGCGUAGAGAAAUCCUGCAGGCUUCUUGUUUAUGAGUACAUGAGCAAUGGCUCCUUGGAAAAAUGGAUUUUUGUCAGAGAUCCGAGACCUUGUCUUGACUGGCAAACUAGGAAGAAAAUAAUACUUGAUGUAGCCAAAGGAUUGACUUAUCUGCAUGAAGAUUGCCGGAGAAGAGUGGCACAUCUUGAUAUAAAGCCACAAAAUAUUCUCUUGGACGAAAAUUUCAAUGCCAAGGUUUCUGAUUUUGGGUUGGCUCAGCUAAUCGAGAGAGACGAGAGCCUAGUGCAGGCAACAAUGAGAGGAACUCCAGGAUACAUUGCUCCGGAAUGGAGGAAAUCAAAAAUCAGUGUCAAAGUUGACAUAUAUAGCUUUGGAAUUGUACUUCUUGAAGUGGUCAGUGCUCGGAGAAACUUAGAUCGUUCGCGAUCAGAAUCUAGCUGCCAUCUCCUCAGACUGCUGCAGGAGAAGGCCAAGGAGGACAGACUGUUUGACAUCGUGGAAAGUUUCGGCGAAGAGGUGGAAAAUCAUAUGGAUGAAAUGAUAAGAAUGAUUAAGAUUGGAGCCUGGUGUUUGCAGAAUGAUCCCGGAAAACGGCCGUCAAUGUCAACCGUGGUGAAGGUGUUGGAAGGAGUAAUGGAAGUAGAUGCAAACGUCAAUUACAAAUUUGCACAAGCAAUGCCAUAUGUUUCCAUUGUCAAUAGUGAUCAUGUCUCCUCCAGGCCAACAGAAUCUGUUCUUUCUAAUCCUAGAUGAACAUUCAUUUUCAGGCACGUUCAUCAUUGAGAUUUGAGUGCAGGCCAAAUUCAUUAAUGAGUAUGUUGUAAAAUCCAUAAGAGUACUGAUAUGGCUGGAAGAAUCGCUGAAGAAGUUCUUAAGCUUAAUCCUCGGGAUGCGGCUCCUUAUGUGUUGUUUUCUAACAUUCAUGCUUCUGCUAAGAGGUGGCAGGGUGUUUCCGAGUUGAGAGAGGCCAUGAGAGAGAGGAAUGUGAAGAAGGAACCAGGUGUAAGCUGGUUAGAAAUAAAGAAUCAAGUUCAUCAGUUUACCAUGGGCGACAAAUCUCAUCCAAGUUCGAUGGAGAUUGAUUUGUAUUUGGAAGAACUAACAUCAGAGAUGAAGCUACGGGGCUAUGUCCCUGAUACGGGCGCUGAUAUGCAUGACAUGGACAAUGAGGAAAAGGAAUAUAAUUUGAAACACCAUAGUGAAAAGCUUGCAAUUGCGUUUGCUCUGAUGAACACACCCACGGGUGUACCAAUAAGGGUGAUGAAGAACUUGCGCGUCUGCAGUGAUUGCCAUGUUGCUAUUAAGUACAUUUCAGAAAUUAAAAACAGAGAAAUUAUUGUUCGAGAUGCCAGUAGAUUUCAUCAUUUCAGAAAUGGGAAAUGCUCUUGUGGAGAUUACUGGUAAGAAGAUGACUCUUUGCUCUCAUAGUUGUAAACUCUACUUCCAAAAGAUUGGUUUUGUAAACUUUAAAUCAAAAAGGAAAUAAAAGAGUAUUCAUACUUCUUUGAUUACCAAUUUCAAGCUGAAUUAGGAAAAGUCCUUUUCUUUUCUUUGUGAUGUUUUUCCAUAUCCAGAAAAUUGAUUAUGAAAUUUACAAACAUACUUAAUUUGUUUUGAAUUAUUAAAUUUAGUCAAAUAUAAGAAUCGGGUUUAGACCAGUUCUAUUACACGGCAGACCGAAUGUUUGAACUCAUUUAGAGCGGUCUAAGCAUUUUUUUAAAUAAUAGUUUGACUCAAAUAAUAAUUUAUUUAGAUUAUGCCCAAAAGCUGUGAAGAAAAUAAGGCUGUAGGUUGUCUUCAAUCUUAAAAUGUUAAUUGACCUGUUAGGCCAAGCAUGCAUGGGAAAGUCUGAUAUCAGUUUCAGUUGCUUUCUAGAUUUUACUUUUAUAUGUUUGCUUUUGUGGAAGUCAUAAACGCUUCGUCAAAGUCUCAAAGACGUGUUGGACAAUAAUUAUAGCUGGCAAAUGGCAAUCACGACUCUUCCAAGAAAUAAUCAUGAAAGGAUACAAAUUUAAUAUUGAAUAAGUCUUCCAUUAAAUUAAAUGUAACUUGAAAGAUUGUCUACUUAGUAUUCCCUGAUUGUAUGAAUCCUUAAGAUGAUAUGCAUAUAUUAUGUCCAUUUUUUAGUGUGUGAUGUUGCUCAUGUGAGAUAUUAAUACGCGAACACGUCGUUUGCGUAUUAAAUUUAGUAUUUAAGCACUAUCAUUCACUAGUUAUUGUGUGUUCAUCGCACGCGCACGCACACACAAGAUGCAUCGAUGCACACUAUUAGGAGACAAUUUGUGUUAGAUCGACAAUUUCCCAAUGUUUUACCGCCACAAAUUUUGUGUUACACUUCAUAAUAAAUAUAUGUUAAAUUGAGUAACGUUACACCUUUUCAAGUUUUGUGUUAUACUUCACAAAAUGGUCAUUCUAAUUCCAUGUGAUAUUUCUCAACAUUUUUAUCACAUGUCGUACAACGAAAACAAAAAUCACAGCAAAGUUGGAGCCGAAAGAACAUACUGAGACAUGAAUAUACUUUUCCAUGAAUCAUCGAAUAGAGACGAAUGAUAUUUAUGUAGCUUGCUUGACUUAAAAUGUCUUCGUGACCCUUUUUUCUCAUCUCUCUCACCCAAUUCCAAACACACAGAUCAUGGCUAGCUGCAGCCUCCACUGCUUGUUUCCCAUUCUCUCCGUUCUUAUUAGCGUACACAUCGUCCCAACUUCGGCUGCAACAACGGGAAAUUGUUCCGUAAGGGCCAGCAACAUUUACUGUUUGGAUUCAGGCCUUCCCUCUACAUGGUACAACAACAACUCUGUCAUCAUGAAUGGAUGGCAGAUGAGAGUAUUCCUCUUAUUACAGGACGCCGGUGAUUUUGAUUUUUAUUGUGGGUUUUACUGCAAUGGCACCUGCAACUCUUAUGUUUUUUCAGUUGUUGCCGUUAGAGAAAACGAUCACAGAGUGGUCUGGUCAGCUAACAAAGACCGCCCGGUAAAAGCAAACGCGAUGGUGCAGCUAAAGACGGACGGUUUGGUGCUGAGAGAUUCGGAUGGCACCCAGAUAUGGGCGAGCAACCACUCAGGUAACUCCGUUCACUGGAUGAACCUUGACCCGGAUGGAAAUCUUUCUCUCUUUAACAAUGAAAGCAAAAUAAUUUGGAAAUCCUCAGCAGAAAAGAUAUCACUGAGUCCACCAAAUCCCUCCAUCACUCCAAACGGAACAUUAACACCAGAAGGAAAAGCACCACCACCUGUAACGGGCAUAGCACCAACAGAAGAGAACAUGCCAAAAUCACCCAAAAAAAGAGGAACAAAAUUGGUGGUGGUAGCAGGAGGAUCAACCGCUGGUGGGCUUCUGAUUCCCUACAUCACUCCAAACGGAACAUUAACACCAGAAGGAAAUGCAGCCUACAUCACUCCAACAUACAUCACUCCAACAAACCGAACAUCAACACCAGACGGAAAUGCACCCUACAUCUCUCCAACAUACAUCACUCCAACAAACGGAACAUCAACACCAGAAGGAAAUGUACCCUACAUCACUCCAACAAACGGAACAUUAGCACCAGAAGGAAAUGUACCCUACAUCACUCCAACAAACGGAACAUUAGCACCAGAAGGAAAUGUACCCUACAUCACUCCAACAAACGGAACAUUAGCACCAGAAGGAAAUGUACCCUACAUCACUCCAACAAACGGAACAUUAGCACCAGAAGGAAAUGUACCCUACAUCACUCCAACAAACGGAACAUUAGCACCAGAAGGAAAUGUACCCUACAUCACUCCAACAAACGGAACAUUAGCACCAGAAGGAAAUGUACCCUACAUCACUCCAACAAACGGAACAUUAGCACCAGAAGGAAAUGUACCCUACAUCACUCCAACAAACGGAACAUUAGCACCAGAAGGAAAUGUACCCUACAUCACUCCAACAAACGGAACAUUAGCACCAGAAGGAAAUGCACCACCACCUGCGACAGGCAUAGCACCAACAGAAGAGAACAGGCCAAAAUCACCCAAAAAAGGACGAACAAAAUUGGUGGCGGUAGUAGCAGGAUCAACCGCUGGUGGGCUUCUGAUUAUCUGUAUUGUAAUUGUGUUGUAUAUUGUGAAAGUUCGGAGGAACGUAGGGGAGGAGGAACAUUUGGAAGAUGACAUGAAACAAGUUCCUGGAUUACCUGUGAGGUUUUCAUAUGAAGAUUUACAGAUUGCGACAGAAGAUUUUAAAGAGAGAAUUGGAGGAGGGGGGUUUGGAACUGUGUUCAAGGGGGUUUUAAAAGACGGCAGUAAAAUUGCUGUAAAGCGUCUGGAUAGAAUGGAGCAGGGGAUGAGGGAGUUCGUAGCAGAAGUUGAGACAAUCGGUAGCUUGCAUCAUUUCAAUCUUGUGAGAUUGAUUGGCUUUUGCGUAGAGAAAUCCUGCAGGCUUCUUGUUUAUGAGUACAUGAGCAAUGGCUCCUUGGAAAAAUGGAUUUUUGUCAGAGAUCCGAGACCUUGUCUUGACUGGCAAACUAGGAAGAAAAUAAUACUUGAUGUAGCCAAAGGAUUGACUUAUCUGCAUGAAGAUUGCCGGAGAAGAGUGGCACAUCUUGAUAUAAAGCCACAAAAUAUUCUCUUGGACGAAAAUUUCAAUGCCAAGG